RNAcentral lists this ribosomal RNA (253 nucleotides) under uncultured bacterium. RNAcentral describes it as "partial 16S ribosomal RNA". It matches the Rfam family "Bacterial small subunit ribosomal RNA", at positions 524 to 776 of the family's 1533-position model. The record is from RNAcentral.
GACAGAGGGUGCAAACGUUGUUCGGAAUUACUGGGCGUAAGGCGCGUGUAGGCGGCCCUGCAAGUCGGAUGUGAAAUCCCACGGCUCAACCGUGGAAGUGCAUUCGAAACUGCAGGGCUAGAGUCCUGGAGAGGAAGGUGGAAUGCUUGGUGUAGAGGUGAAAUUCGUAGAUAUCAAGCGGAACACCGGUGGCGAAGGCGGCCUUCUGGACAGUGACUGACGCUGAGACGCGAAAGCGUGGGGAGCAAACAGG